GGGUUAUGUCCCGCAACGAGCGCAACCCUUCCCAUUAGUUGAUAAGAAAGGGCUCUAUAAUGGGACUGCCGGUGACAAGCCGGAGGAAGGUGGGGAUGAUGUCAUGUCCUCAUGCCCUUUAUAGGGGGGGAUACACAUGUCAUACAAUGGCCGGUACAAAGGGCAGCCAACCCGAGAGGGGGAGCCAAUCCCAUAAAGCCUGUUGUUGUCCGGAUCGCUGUGUGCAACUAGAGUGCGAGAUGUGGGAAUCGAUUGUAAUCGGGGAUCAGCAUGUCACGGAGAAUACGUUCCCGUGUCUUGUACACACCGCCUGUCACCCCAUGGGAGCGGGUCUCGCCAGAAG
RNAcentral lists this ribosomal RNA (343 nucleotides) under uncultured bacterium. RNAcentral's name for it is "bacterial SSU rRNA". It matches the Rfam family "Bacterial small subunit ribosomal RNA", at positions 1077 to 1426 of the family's 1533-position model. The record is from RNAcentral.